AUUGAACGCUGGCGGCAUGCCUUACACAUGCAAGUCGAACGGUAACGGGCCUUCGGGUGCCGACGAGUGGCGAACGGGUGAGUAAUGCAUCGGAACGUACCUUUCAGUGGGGGAUAACGUAGCGAAAGUUACGCUAAUACCGCAUAUUCUGUGCGCAGGAAAGCAGGGGAUCGCAAGACCUUGCGCUGAUUGAGCGGCCGAUGUCAGAUUAGCCAGUUGGUGAGGUAAAGGCUCACCAAGGCGACGAUCUGUAGCGGGUCUGAGAGGAUGAUCCGUCACACUGGAACUGAGACACGGUCCAGACUCCUAAGGGAGGCAGCAGUGGGGAAUUUUGGACAAUGGGGGCAACCCUGAUCCAGCCAUGCCGCGUGAGUGAAGAAGGCCUUCGGGUUGUAAAGCUCUUUCGGCCGGGAAGAAAUCGCAUGGGUUAAUACCCUGUGCGGAUGACGGUACCGGCAUAAGAAGCACCGGCUAACUACGUGCCAGCAGCCGCCGUAA
Molecule: ribosomal RNA, 498 nt
Filed under: uncultured bacterium
Lineage: Bacteria
Description: partial 16S ribosomal RNA
Rfam family: Bacterial small subunit ribosomal RNA
Source: RNAcentral